CCAUGAUCCUGGAAGAUGCAUGUUUAUAAGGGCUGGCCAGGCUCCUUCCUGGCUGUCCAGAGGGCCUGAGCCAGCACUUAAUGUUUUAAGAGACACCACAUUCCUUAUGCGGUGUUUUAUGAACUCAGCUGCUGGAGUAUAGGGACAAGAGGCUGAAAUAGAAAGACCAUUGAAUGAAGCCUUCAUUCAGAGGCACAUCUUUGGCUCUGCCCCUCUUGCCAAGGUGGAGUGAUGGAUUUCAUCAGGGAGAGGAGCUGAUCUUUGGCAGACAAACCACAGGCUGAAUCCUUGGCAGGAGCAGCCCCGUUGGUGAUGGAAUGAAGGUUGUAUUUGAAAGUAAUUCCUAAGCCCUGUGUUUCUGAUGGAUAAAUUCUGUGUCUUAACUGCAAACAGAGACAUAAAGGCUGUGGUUGUGUUACAGUCGUGCUUGUUUCAGUUGCUCAACUGCCCUGAAAGACAACUGCUUCUGUAUCAGCUUCAAGUAUUUCCCUGCUCUAUUUGCCUCAGCUGGAGUCUGGGAUGUGGUUACCCUGCAGUAUUGCCAUUGUGGGUGUUUCGGGUGAAUACACUCGGAAUAGAGCAGGAAGAUGCAGAUAAAACAGCCACUUUGAGGUGAAAAUGAGAGCGUUCACGUUACACCCACCUCUUGAAUUUGUACCUGACUGUUCGCAUUGAAAAGCUGAUUCUAAGAACUCAGCAGGUCCCGUCAGGAGCAGAAUAAUACCACAGAAACCCUGGCCAGCCUGAGGCUGAGUGAAUAUUGGGAAUUGUGAUUAACUUCUGAGGAAUGUAUCCGGAGCAAGUCAUGUUUUCUGGGCAUUUGUAGGUAAUAAUUUCAACCCUUGGAUCUGUGAGUGAAGGUUGCCACCAGUUCUCACACAAAUAGAUGUGAAAGGCAUCAGAUAAAUACUGGCUUCUGACCUGUUCACUCGUGUGUAACGUGCUCAAAUGGCUGUGUUGACUGCAUAGGAGGAGCGAGCUGCAAAGGGAGCAACCGGAUCCCUCUAUGAAAUUUCUUCAUCACCUUCAAGUGAGACUGAGUCCAGAGUCCACCCUUGUCACCUGAAGGGAUGGGGAGCAAAAGUAUGUUUCACAUUGGAGAGUGGUAUUCAGAUAAGGGGUAAACCAGCCCAUAUAACACAGACAACAUGGAAGAAAGGCUUUGGUCUCUCCCUCUUAGUGUGCUGCCAGGGACCCCAGGCUAAACACAGUGUGUCCACAGUGGCAUUCCCAGUCACAGAGGAGGUUGUAAGU
Long non-coding RNA from Neopsephotus bourkii (Bourke's parrot), 1254 nucleotides. RefSeq lists it as uncharacterized. The transcript has 3 exons. NCBI's taxonomy places the organism in Eukaryota, Metazoa, Chordata, Aves, Psittaciformes, Psittacidae. The record is from RefSeq and is a predicted model, not a curated record.